Long non-coding RNA from Gordionus sp. m RMFG-2023, 1837 nucleotides. RefSeq lists it as uncharacterized. The transcript has 3 exons. The record is from RefSeq and is a predicted model, not a curated record. NCBI's taxonomy places the organism in Eukaryota, Metazoa, Nematomorpha, Gordioida, Chordodea, Parachordodidae.
GGAGUAACAGAUAUUGUUAUCUCGUGUCAGCUGAUUCUUUAUUGUGUCAGUUUUUGUGUCAGCUACCAUUAGAUAUGGUCAAAUACCUAUUACUUGACAAUUUGGUGUCAGGUAUUUUGGGAAUAGGUUUUAUUGGUGAGUAUUUUAAGCCUUAAGACUCUUUGAAUGGAGGUAAAGGUCUUCCGUCAGAGGAAAAUUCAGGACCUAAUGAUAUGCAGGACAGAAAAGAUUACUUAAUAUUUGAAUUUUGGGGAUUUUAAUUAGCAGGAAUAAAUUUGGGUCUUGCAAUGUAAAUAAAGGAAAAUAAGAUACAUAUAUAUAUCUAUACAUAAAUAAUUACUUUUAUAUUGGUGAUUUUUGUUUAAAAAAGAAGCAAAUGUUGUUACAUAAAUUGGUAGAGUCAGAGUUUUUGUAACAAUAUGUUUUGGAUGAUUAUUGGAAAUUUAAUAAAAUAGGUUUCAGUUGGAUACUGGACAUAGGCUUCAGUUGGAUACUGGACAAAAGUUGAUUAGAUUAUUGAGUUGAAUGAAGUUUAUGGAAUAAUGUGGAUGGACAAUGGGUAAAUGUGAGAAGGGAUCCAUUUACAGGUUGCAUUGUUUUUGAACAUUAUUGGUGAUGAUAUUAGCAUGAUUAAUAGAUUUUUUUUUUAUAUUUUAUUUUCACAAUAAAUAUGUAACAAUUUUUGAUACUUAUUUUAUUUGUUUCAAAAUUUAAAUUUUAGAUUGUAAUAAAUAUUUUCAUUAUGUUUAUGUCAGACAAUCAUAUAUUUUAAUAUUUCAACCAAUGUUAAUAAUUGAGUGAAAUAUUUUGCACUUUAUUUUUAAAAUCCAAGAGUUUAUUGAGAUACACCAUCACAUUAAUAACAUAUAUAUUAAUCUUCAAUGAAAUGAUAUGUUGAUAUUGUUGUUUUCCUUGCAUUAUCCAAAAAUAUUUUUGUAAGUUGGGUAAGAAUUAUUCUGAGCCCAUUUUGAUAUGUAGCUUUUUAAUUCUUGUAUUACCAUAUUCCUGUGGUAUCCUAAUUGGGGUUAAAAUUUAUUAAGUAACAAUAACAUAUUUGUAGAUCUGUUAUUGUUUGUACAAUGAAAUUUAUUGUAUCAUACAUUUUUUUUUUGAAAUUUCAGUGGUACGUUCAAAUAAAAUAUUACCAUUCAUAUAUUUUUUUGAAAAGAUUCAAGUUUCCUCUAAUUGAUCAUAUUAUAUGUUUUGAUUGUUAUUUUGAGAAAGUAAUAUAUAUAUGUCUCAUUUGACCCCUGAUGUGUUGGAGGAUACAGAUAGUGGAAGUGUGGCAGCAAUAAUGAUCAAGAGCUAUGACUCAGACGAAAAUUAAUAUCAAGAGCUAUGACUCGAACGUAAUGAUGGAACGAUGUGAGGAUGAUCAAAUAAACGAUGAGAGAUGAAGCAAAGGGGCAAAAUUACAUGAAAAUGAAUCGAACGUAUACAAUAAAUUUAAAAAAAAAAAAUAAUAAUACUUUUGGGAUAAUGUAACACCGGGUUUUUUGAAGGGCGGGUAUGUUGUGUUUUGUACUUUUACAAUUACGCAUAUAUAUAAUUUUAGAUACGAGAUGUCAGUUAACUUCUACAUUAUAUGUAGUCAUACAUAUAUAUUUAUAUAUAGGAGAUGUCAGUUAUUUUCAACGUUAUUUGUAUUCAUACAUAUAUUAAUUAUCAUUGUCUUGGAUUUUCUUUUGUUUUGUAUUCGGUAAAAUCAUCUGGUAAUAUUCAGAAAAUAAAGUAGUGCAAAUCAAAUAUUCUUUUCCGGAAGGUUGGAAAGUAAGUAAGAUAAGGAGGUGGAGAGGUAAGGGAAUGUUUUUUUUUACAAGGUCCAUAACCAAAAACU